GUCUACAGCCACACCACCCUGAAGGCACCCAGUCUCGGAAGCUAAGCAGAGUCGGGCCUGGUUAGUACUUAGAUGGGAGAAAUUGACAUGUUUAUGCUGAAAUUUAUACAGAAAAUCAUAAUGGUCUAGAAU
Molecule: ribosomal RNA, 132 nt
Filed under: Microcebus murinus (gray mouse lemur)
Lineage: Eukaryota; Metazoa; Chordata; Mammalia; Primates; Cheirogaleidae
Source: RNAcentral